UACGUAGGGGGCAAGCGUUGUCCGGAAUUAUUGGGCGUAAAGCGCGUGUAGGCGGCUUGGUAAGUCUGGUGUGAAACCUUGGGGCUCAACCCCAAGCCUGCAUCGGAUACUGCCUCGCUAGAGUUCGGGAGGGGAGAGCGGAAUUCCUAGUGUAGCGGUGGAAUGCGCAGAUAUUAGGAAGAACACCCGUGGCGAAGGCGGCUCUCUGGAACGAUACUGACGCUGAGACGCGAAAGCGUGGGGAGCGAACAGG
Molecule: ribosomal RNA, 253 nt
Filed under: uncultured bacterium
Lineage: Bacteria
Description: partial 16S ribosomal RNA
Rfam family: Bacterial small subunit ribosomal RNA
Source: RNAcentral